This 865-nucleotide ribosomal RNA is filed under the name uncultured Nesterenkonia sp. RNAcentral's name for it is "bacterial SSU rRNA". It matches the Rfam family "Bacterial small subunit ribosomal RNA", at positions 12 to 884 of the family's 1533-position model. Lineage: Bacteria; Bacillati; Actinomycetota; Actinomycetes; Micrococcales; Micrococcaceae. The record is from RNAcentral.
UUUGAUCCUGGCUCAGGAUGAACGCUGGCGGCGUGCUUAACACAUGCAAGUCGAACGAUGAUGCUGGUGCUUGCACUGGUGGAUUAGUGGCGAACGGGUGAGUAUCACGUGAGUAACCUUCCCUUGACUCUGGGAUAAGCCCGGGAAACUGGGUCUAAUACCGGAUAUGACUGGUCUCCGCAUGGGGGCUGGUGGAAAGCUUUUGCGGUUUUGGAUGGACUCGCGGCCUAUCAGUUUGUUGGUGAGGUAAUGGCUUACCAAGACGAUGACGGGUAGCCGGCCUGAGAGGGUGACCGGCCACACUGGGACUGAGACACGGCCCAGACUCCUACGGGAGGCAGCAGUAGGGGAAUAUUGCACAAUGGGCGCAAGCCUGAUGCAGCGACGCCGCGUGCGGGAUGACGGCCUUCGGGUUGUAAACCGCUUUCAGCAAGGAAGAAGCUUUUUGUGACGGUACUUGCAGAAGAAGCGCCGGCUAACUACGUGCCAGCAGCCGCGGUAAUACGUAGGGCGCGAGCGUUAUCCGGAAUUAUUGGGCGUAAAGAGCUUGUAGGCGGUUUGCCGCGUCUGCUGUGAAAGCCCGGGGCUUAACUCCGGGUGUGCAGUGGGUACGGGCAGGCUAGAGUGCAGUAGGGGAGACUGGAAUUCCUGGUGUAGCGGUGAAAUGCGCAGAUAUCAGGAGGAACACCGAUGGCGAAGGCAGGUCUCUGGGCUGUUACUGACGCUGAGAAGCGAAAGCAUGGGUAGCGAACAGGAUUAGAUACCCUGGUAGUCCAUGCCGUAAACGUUGGGCACUAGGUGUGGGGGACAUUCCACGUUUUCCGCGCCGUAGCUAACGCAUUAAGUGCCCCGCCUGGGGAGUACG